GGAAAACCUGUGAGCAGUGCUGGGCAGGAAUCCAACUAAUGAAUAAAACGUCUAAGA
RNAcentral lists this small RNA (57 nucleotides) under Mus musculus (house mouse). The record is from RNAcentral. Lineage: Eukaryota; Metazoa; Chordata; Mammalia; Rodentia; Muridae.